GAGACGGAGUUUCACUCGUACUGCUGCCCAGGCUAUAUAGUGCAAUGGCACCAUCUUGGCUCACCACAACCUCCGCCUCCCAGGUUCAAGCGAUUCUCCUGCCUCAGCCUCCCGAGUAGCUUGGAUUACAGGCAUGCACCGCCACGCCCAGCUAAUUUUGUAUUUUUAGUAAAGAUGGAGUUUCUCCAUGUUGGUCGGGCUGGUCUCAAACUCCCGACCUCAGGUGAUCCUCCCGCCUCGGCCUCCCAAAGUGCUGGGAUUACAGGCAUGAGCCAUGGCACCCGGCCAGGCUGAGAAUUCUUAAGACAGGAUUUUUUAAGGAUAGUUUGGUAAGCAUGGGGCUAGGGGAUGGGUUGAUGUGUUGGGUACUAUGGGGAACGUGGAAGUGGAGAAUAGUGUGGACUUUUGAAAGGAUGUCUGCCUAGGAGUGGAGUUGGGCAUGAGGGCAGGACUAAAAAAGAGUGAGUGAAGGAAAAGGGGUACGUGUCUUCUGGCCAGGGAAUGUGUCUUCCGGCUGGCUCUCUUCCUGCUUCUGCUAUCUUGCUGACACACGCUGCUGGUGCAAGUGGCGUUGUGCCUUGGGACUGGGCCUGAGAAGGGGGGAGUUACUCAUCCCUUCAAGCUUUGGGUCCCCGGGGAGAAUCUUUCAAGUAUGAACCUGGCCUUGUGAAAGCAGAGCUCCAGUUACACAGUGUAUCCCGAAUCCAUGAAUGUUAUGAUGGUGCUAAUUUGAACCACUAAGAGGCCUUGUGAGAGUCUCUUCUUUCCCAGAAAAUGUGGGGAACACAGAGAGUGUCUUUCUGGAUAGACAUACCCAAGAAACUUCUGCUGAGGAAAGUGAAAGCAAAGAUACAACUUAUCCCAGAAAGGGGAGUGCAUAUGUAGAUGGUGAUAAGUAAUAUAGCCUGAAAUAUUCACAUGGAUAUAAUUAGAGUUAGGGUUAUAGUUAAGGAGGAAGGGAAGGGAGACAGAAAGAAAGCAAGUAAGAAAGGAAGCAAGAAAAGAUAAAACUGUGUCCAAGUUUCUUACUUGUAUUAAACAGAGUGUUUUUCUAGAUAUUGUUAACCAAGAUAAGGAAUCCCUAAAGAGAGGCAGGCUUGAUUUAGAGCUGUCUGAGGGCUUCCAAAAGAGCUGUUCAGUGAAUAAGAAGGAAUCCAACCAUGGAGCAUCAGAGUCUAAGUUGGAUGUAUAGGUUUGUGUGUCUUCAGUAUUGUCUUGUAUUUUAAGACAGAAUUAGAUGUGCCCAUCAGAAAUGAGUGUAUGGCAUGAAAAAGUUGCAGAUGGUAGGCCGCAGUGAACUCCAAUUGUUUGGAAGGCUUAACUUGAACCUUCCUAGGCUAGAGAAUUUUAAAUGACUGAGAUGUUUCUAAUGUGCCUAGAGCUUCUUUUCUAAUGAGCCCAGGGAGGGCUAGAAUCUCUAUCAGAGUUAGUCUGGGAUGUAAAGGGGAUCAGGAUGUGCCACCCCAAUAUAUGCCACUUUAGCCUAUGGAUUAUUUUGAGCAGUUAAAAAAUUAGAAAUAGCAGGCCUGGUGCAGUGGCUCAUGCCUGUAAUCUUAGCACUUUGGGAGACCGAGGCAGGUGGAUCACCUGAAGUCAAGAGUUCGAGACCAGCCUGGCCAACAUGGUGAAACCCCAUCUCUACUAAAAAAAAAAAAAAAAAAAAAAUACAAAAAUUAGCCAGGCGUGGUGUGGCACGCCUGUAAUACCAGCUACUCAGGAGGCUGAGGAAGGAGAAUUGCUUGAAGCCAGGAGGUAGAGGUUGCAAUGAGCCAAGAUCGUACCACUGCACUCCAGCCUGCGUGAUGGGAGCGAGACUCCAUCUCAAAAAAAAAAGAGAAAAAAAGAAAUUAGAAAUAGCAGACAUAUGAGGAUCUCUGACCUCCCUUUCCUGCUGAAAAGCAGGGCAUACAUUUUGCUUUUGUAAAAAAAUUUGCAUUUAUAAAAGCUUCCACCUCUCCCCUACCUGGAAGAGAAGGAAACUCUUCUACUCUAAUACUUGAAGGGGGCCUGCCUCUCCACACCUGUGGGUAUUUCUUGCAAGGUGGAGACGAGACACUGAGAAAAGAAAUAAGACACAGAGACAGUAUAGAGGAAGAAAAGUGGGCCAAGGGGACUGGUGCUCAGCAAGUGAGGACCUGCACCAGCAUUGGUCUCUGAGUUCCCUCAGUAUUUAUUGAUCACUAUCUCUACUAUCUUGGCGAGGGGGAUGUGGCAGGACUAUAGGGUAAUGGUGGCCAGAGGGUCAGCAGGAAAACAUGUGAGCAAAGGACUCUGUGUCAUAAAUAAGUUUAAGGAAAGGUGCUGUGCCUGGAUGUGCACAUAGGCCAGAUUUAUGUUUGACUUUACACAGACAUCUCAGUGCAGUAAAGAGCAGUAUUGCCGCCAGCAGGUCUCACUUCCAGCCAUAAGGCAGUUUUCUCCUAUCUCAGUAAAUAGAAUAUAUGAUCAGGUUUUACACUGAGACAUUCCAUUCCCAGGGACAAGCAGGAGACAGAUGCCUUCCUCUUGUCUCAGCUGCAAAGAGGCCUUCCUCUUUCACUAAUCCUCCUCAGCACGGACCCUUUAUGGGUGUCGGGCUGGGGGAUGGAGGUCUUUCCUUUCCUACAAGGCCAUAUCUCAGGCUAUCUCAGUGGCGGGAAACCUUAGACAAUACCCAGGCUUUCUUGGGCAGAGGUCCCUGUGGCCUUCCACAGUGCAUUGUGUCCCUGGGUACUUGAGAUUGGAGAAUGGUGAUGACUUUUACCAAGCAUACUGCCUGCAAACAUUUUUACCAAGGCACAUCCUGCACAGCCCUAAAUCCAUUAAAUCUUGAGUCAAUAUAGCACAUGUUUCUGCGAGCACAGGGUUGGGGCUAGGGUUACAGAUUAACAGCAUCUCAAGGCAGAAGAAUUUUUCUUAGUACAGAUCAAAAUGGAGUUUCUUAUGUCUUCCUUUUUCUACAUAGACACAGUAACAGUCUGAUCUCUCUUUCUUUCCCCCACAAUGCUUGUUUGAGGACAUGUAUUAUCACCAGAGAGGACUUGAAACUGCAUAACAAACCGUACUUGCCAGACAUUUCCUAAUCACCUUCUCACUGUUUACUCCCUCCCCCUAUAAUCGAUAAUCGCAAAGCUUCCUUUCCCUUUGACUAUUCUAUUCUCUUCACAAUUUAUCACCCCUUGUUAAAUGGUAUAUAAGCCCCCAGCCCUAAACUCCUACUUGGGUUUUCACUUCUCUUUUGUGAAGCCUCAUUAUGUAUGCAAAAUAAAAUUUUUCUACUGUUAAUCUGUCGUUUAUCAGUUUAAGUGACAGGCUGGGGCUGGGCGCCGUGGCUCACGCCUGUAAUCCCAGCACUUUCGGGAGGCCGAGGUGGCCGGAUCACGAGGUCAGGAGAUCGAGACCAUCCUGGCUAACACAGUGAAACCCCGUCUCUACUAAAAAAUACAAAAAAUUAGACGGGCGUGGGCCGGUCGCGGUGGCUCCCGGCUGUAAUCCUAGCACUUUGGGAGGCCGAGGCGGGCGGAUCACGAGGUCAGGAGAUGGAGACCAUCCUGGCUAACACGGUGAAACCCCGUCUCUACUAAAAAUACAGAAAAUUAGCCGGACGAGGUGGCGGGCCCUGUAGUCCCAGCUACUCGGGAGGCUGAGGCAAGAGAAUGGCGUGAACCCCAGGGGGCGGAGCCUGCAGUGAGCCGAGAUUGCGCCCCACUGCACUCCAGCCUGGGCAACAGCGAGACUACGUCUCAAAAAAAAAAAAAAAAAAAAUUAGCCGGGUGUGGUGGCGGGCGCCUGUAGUCUCAGCUACUCGGCAGGCUGAGGCAGGAGAAUGGCGUGAACCCCGGAGGCAGAGCUUGCAGUGAGCCAAGAUUGUGCCACUGCACUCCAGCCUGGGCGACAGAGCAAGGCUCUGUCUCAAAAAAAAAAAAAAAAGUGACAGGCUCUACACACUGAAUUUAAGAAGGUAGAGGUCGGGUUUUUUCAUCAUCUACAAAGGUACUCUGCUUCUAAAAUGAGUUAGAACAAUGGAUUUGACCACAAUCAGAUGGACAUUAAGGGUAAGAAAGAAAAGUGGCUCAAAGCAGCCUGAGGAAUGUAAAGUAUGCAAAAUUUAUCAGGCUCAGAGAGACUUGAGCAAGAGCCUUCAGUCAUAUCCCUCUCAGCCAUACCCAGGAAUAACUGUUUCAAGGCAUUUUGACAGGGGCGGCGACUCAGCUCUUGCCUGUAAUCCCAGCUACUCAGCAGGCUGAGAUGGGAGGAUCACAUAAGCCCAGGAGUUUGAGACUGCAGCAGGCUAUAAUCAGGCUACUGCAUUUCACCCUGGGCAACGGAGAGAAAACCCAUCUCUAAAAAAGUUAAGAUAAAUAAAAAAUAAAUAAGCAAAAAAUAAAUUUGGAGCCGGGCGCGGUAUCUCAUGCCUGUAAUCCCAGCACUUUGGGAGGCCGAGGUGGGUGGAUCACCUGAGGUCAGGAGUUUGAGACCGGCCUAGCCAACAUGGUGAAACACCAUCUCUACUAAAAAUACAAAAAAUUAGCCAGGUGUGGUGGUGGGCGCCUGUAAUCCUAGCUACUCGGGAGGCCGAGGCAGGAGAAUCGCUUGAACCCAGGAGGUAGAGGUUGCAGUGAGCCAAGAUCGCACCAUUGCACUCCAGCCUGGGCAACAAGAGCGAAAUUCCAUCUCUAAAUAAAUAAAUAAAUUUUGGUGGUUUUUUUUUUCUUUCCUGUUGUUUCCAGACUAAUAACCUAAAAUGUUACCACAAGUUGGGCAAUGUGAGUCUCACUCAUUACCUUCUUUUUCCUGAAAUUAGUGACAUAAAGAAAAAUGUAUAGCCAACAAUAGCUUAUGUUAUUUUAAUAAACCAAUGUAAAAUUU
Molecule: long non-coding RNA, 4848 nt
Filed under: Homo sapiens (human)
Lineage: Eukaryota; Metazoa; Chordata; Mammalia; Primates; Hominidae
Description: HSALNT0326349
Source: RNAcentral